RNAcentral lists this ribosomal RNA (250 nucleotides) under uncultured bacterium. Its description in RNAcentral is "partial 16S ribosomal RNA". It matches the Rfam family "Bacterial small subunit ribosomal RNA", at positions 524 to 772 of the family's 1533-position model. The record is from RNAcentral.
UACAUAGGGGGCAAGCGUUGUCCGGAAUGACUGGGCGUAAAGGGUGUGUAGGCGGUUUGGCAAGUUGGAAGUGUAAUACCUAGAGCUUAACUCAGGUGCUGCUUCCAAAACUGCUAGACUUGAGUAUCGGAGAGGAAAAUGGAAUUCCUAGUGUAGCGGUGGAAUGCGUAGAUAUUAGGAGGAACACCAGAGGCGAAAGCGAUUUUCUGGACGAUAACUGACGCUGAGGCACGAAAGCGUGGGGAGCAAA